AUUGAACGCUGGCGGCAGGCCUAACACAUGCAAGUCGAGCGGAUGAAGGGAGCUUGCUCCUGGAUUCAGCGGCGGACGGGUGAGUAAUGCCUAGGAAUCUGCCUGGUAGUGGGGGAUAACGUCCGGGAACGGGCGCUAAUACCGCAUACGUCCUGAGGGAGAAAGUGGGGGAUCUUCGGACCUCACGCUAUCAGAUGAGCCUAGGUCGGAUAGCUAGUUGGUGGGGUAAAGGCCUACCAAGGCGACGAUCCGUAACUGGUCUGAGAGGAUGAUCAGUCACACUGGAACUGAGGCACGGUCCAGACUCCUACGGGAGGCAGCAGUGGGGAAUAUUGGACAAUGGGCGAAAGCCUGAUCCAGCCAUGCCGCGUGUGUGAAGAAGGUCUUCGGAUUGUAAAGCACUUUAAGUUGGGAGGAAGGGCAGUAAGUUAAUACCUUGCUGUUUUGACGUUACCAACAGAAUAAGCACCGGCUAACUUCGUG
RNAcentral lists this ribosomal RNA (483 nucleotides) under uncultured bacterium. RNAcentral describes it as "partial 16S ribosomal RNA". It matches the Rfam family "Bacterial small subunit ribosomal RNA", at positions 30 to 507 of the family's 1533-position model. The record is from RNAcentral.